Molecule: ribosomal RNA, 335 nt
Filed under: uncultured bacterium
Lineage: Bacteria
Description: bacterial SSU rRNA
Rfam family: Bacterial small subunit ribosomal RNA
Source: RNAcentral
GAUGAACGCUGGCGGCGUGCUUAACACAUGCAAGUCGAACGGGGUUAACAUUUUUGAAGCAAAUAGCUUGCUAGGAGUGGAAAUGUUGUUAACUUAGUGGCGGACGGGUGAGUAACGCGUGGGUAACCUGCCGUAUGCAGGGGGAUAACACUUAGAAAUAGGUGCUAACACCGCAUAAGCGCACGAGGGCGCAUGCUUUUGUGUGAAAAACUCCGGUGGCAUACGAUGGACCCGCGUCUGAUUAGCCAGUUGGCAGGGUAACGGCCUACCAAAGCGACGAUCAGUAGCCGGCCUGAGAGGGCGGACGGCCACAUUGGGACUGAGACACGGCCCAA